CAGGGGUGAUGAUGCUGAGUAAGGUUUCGCAUGCUGGACUGAAGUCCUGUGAUGUUGCUUCCUCUUGGCUGUCUGACCUG
This is a small nucleolar RNA of Monopterus albus (swamp eel), 80 nucleotides long. The record is from Ensembl. NCBI's taxonomy places the organism in Eukaryota, Metazoa, Chordata, Actinopteri, Synbranchiformes, Synbranchidae.